UGCGUGCGUACUAUGGAUGUUUGUUCCAUUUUACUAGAAAUGUUUUCUGCCAUUAGGUUGGUGGGAGGCAAUUUUCUAGUUCUUUUACUGUGAAUAACUCAGCUUGCUCCAGAAAGGCGUUUGCCAAAUUUUGAAUGCAUUAGCAUGGAAUAAUAAGAUAAGACUUUGGUGGUCUGUUUUGUUGGUUUACACACCAGAGUAAUGAUUAAUAGGGACAGUUGGGGGUAUCUAUAUUUCAUUGUCAGAGGUGAAAUUCUUGGAUCAAUGAAAGAUAAACUAAUGCGAAAGCAUUUACCAAGGAUGUUUUCUUUAAUCAAGAACGAAAGUUAGGGGAUCGAAGAUGAUUAGAUACCAUCGUAGUCUUAACCAUAAACUAUGCCGACUCGGGAUUGGUAGUUGUUCUAAUUAGAAUGACAUUAUCAGCACCGUAAGAGAAAUCAAAGUCUUUGGGUUCCGGGGGGAGUAUGGUCGCAAGGCUGAAACUUAAAGGAAUUGACGGAAGGGCACCACCAGGAGUGGAGCCUGCGGCUUAAUUUGACUCAACACGGGGAAACUUACCAGUCCAGACAUAGUAAGGGAUUUGACCAGAUUGAGAGCUCUUUCUUUGAUUUCUAUGGGGUGGUGGUGCAUGGGCCGUUCUUAGUUGGUGGAGUGAUUUGUCUGGUUAAUUCCGUUAACGAACGAGACCUCCGCGUGCUAAAUAGUUUCGAUUGCUUUUUGAGCAGUUCAGAAACUUCUUAGAGGGACUUUUGG
RNAcentral lists this ribosomal RNA (753 nucleotides) under uncultured eukaryote. Its description in RNAcentral is "SSU rRNA". It matches the Rfam family "Eukaryotic small subunit ribosomal RNA", at positions 668 to 1426 of the family's 1831-position model. The record is from RNAcentral.